GACGAACGCUGGCGGCGUGCUUAACACAUGCAAGUCGAACGAAGUGGCGAACGGGUGAGUAACGCGUAAUCAACCUGCCCUUCAGAGGGGGACAACAGCUGGAAACGACUGCUAAUACCGCAUACUGAAGGAGGGGUUUGCGUCUGAUUGGCUAGUUGGAGGGGUAACGGCCCACCGAGGCGAUGACCAGUAGCCGGUCUUGGAGGGUGAACGGCCACAAUGGGACUGAGACACGGCCCAGAAUCCUACGGGGGGCAGCAGUGGGGAAUCUUCCGCCAUGGACGAAAGUCUGACGGAGCAACGCCGCGUGAGUGAUGACGGCCUUCGGGUUGUAAAGCUCUGUUAAUCGGGGCGCGGUACCGGAAUAGAAAGCCACGGCUAACUACGUGCCAGCAGCCGCGGUAAUAC
RNAcentral lists this ribosomal RNA (408 nucleotides) under uncultured bacterium. Its description in RNAcentral is "partial 16S ribosomal RNA". It matches the Rfam family "Bacterial small subunit ribosomal RNA", at positions 28 to 526 of the family's 1533-position model. The record is from RNAcentral.